UGGGUGUUGACUGACGGGCAGCUUGAGAGGGACAAGGGGAACCGGGAGAGGGUUCAGAGAAGAGACCCAGAGGUGAUGAAAUGGCUGGAAACUGAGCUCGGAGGCAAAGUCAAGGGACUGGAACCUGCCCCACCUGGAGCAGAGAGGGUGGUGAGGACAACCUCAUCAGACCUAGCCUCGUAGCCUAUGGAGUGCUGCCUCCCAGAAAGGUGGCCGGAUGAUCCAAGAGGGAGGACCGUCAUCUAAGUGGCUCUUCACUCCAACAUGUGACCAUCUGGCCAGAGAAAUUGUUCUUAAGAGUGUGAACUACCUGGCAGCUUCUAUUCCAGCCCUCUCCAUCCACCUUGUAAGAUCCUCUGACCUCCCACCAAAGGUUCAUUCAAGGCAGAAGCAACACAAUUCCAAAGGCAGGAUCCUGUUACCCUGAUAAUUGGCAUCGGACCAUUAAAGACCUCUUGACCAGUGGCUGGACACAGGACUACUUGGGGGUAAAGUCCCAGAAGCCAUGCUAGGUGCAGGGCUAGCAGGUCUCCAUUAGUUGACAUCCCUGAGUGUUUCUCAACAAUUUGAGCCAAUCCCCAUAUUGUGAAUAUCUUUAACUUAAUAAGAAGAACUCAUUUCCAACAUUCUUCAUGCUAAUAAAAAUUCACCAGUAAAAGCCCAGUUUGGACCAGCAAGUUGGCAAAGUCUUAGAUGCGAUCAAGAUCUGGAUACUCACAGGACGAGGGAAGGCUGACCCUGGAGCAUGGCCACCCUCUGCAGGACUUCCCGAGCUCACACCUUCACUUGGCUUCCUCCUUCCCUAGUUCC
Non-coding RNA from Microcebus murinus (gray mouse lemur), 810 nucleotides. The record is from RefSeq and is a predicted model, not a curated record. Lineage: Eukaryota; Metazoa; Chordata; Mammalia; Primates; Cheirogaleidae.